Molecule: ribosomal RNA, 253 nt
Filed under: uncultured bacterium
Lineage: Bacteria
Description: partial 16S ribosomal RNA
Rfam family: Bacterial small subunit ribosomal RNA
Source: RNAcentral
UACGUAGGGUGCAAGCGUUGUUCGGAAUUACUGGGCGUAAAGGGCUCGUAGGCGGCCAACUAAGUCAGACGUGAAAUCCCUCGGCUUAACCGGGGAACUGCGUCUGAUACUGGAUGGCUUGAAUCCGGGAGAGGGAUGCGGAAUUCCAGGUGUAGCGGUGAAAUGCGUAGAUAUCUGGAGGAACACCGGUGGCGAAGGCGGCAUCCUGGACCGGCAUUGACGCUGAGGAGCGAAAGCCAGGGGAGCAAACAGG